AAGACUUUAAGUUAUACCUAAACUAUUAACCUUCAAAGUUUUUUAAAUAAAAAUUUUUAUAGGUCUUA
Molecule: transfer RNA, 68 nt
Filed under: Stenamma megamanni
Lineage: Eukaryota; Metazoa; Arthropoda; Insecta; Hymenoptera; Formicidae
Description: tRNA-Trp
Source: RNAcentral